GCCUAAUCACAAAACCACUAUCUUAAUCCCACACCAACACCGAAUACUUCUAUAACACUAUAGAAAAUUUUAUGUUAAAACUAGUAACAAGAAGUAAACCUUCUCUUAAAUGUAAAUGUAAAUCAGAAAGGACAGACCACUGAUAUUUAACACCUUUGAACCUAAAGUAGUAACUAAUCAAGAAAACUCUGCUAUAAACAACGUUAACCUAACACAAGAACAUUCCAAGAAAGAUUUAAAGAAUAAGAAGGAACUCGGCAAAUUUUAACCUCGCCUGUUUACCAAAAACAUCGCCUCUUGCCCCCCCCCAUAAGAGGUCCAGCCUGCCCAGUGACUCUGUUUAACGGCCGCGGUAUCCUAACCGUGCGAAGGUAGCGUAAUCACUUGUUCUUUAAAUAAGGACUAGUAUGAAUGGCAUCACGAGGGUUACACUGUCUCCUUUUUCCAAUCAGUGAAACUAAUCUUCCCGUGAAGAAGCGGGAAUUAACCUAUAAGACGAGAAGACCCUAUGGAGCUUUAAACAACACAGCAUUUACCUUACAAAUUUCUAAAACAAACUUUACUAGGUAGAAUGACUAUAAGUUUUUGGUUGGGGUGACCGCGGAGCAUAAUCUAACCUCCUUGUUGAAAAAAUAUUAUUUUAAGCCCAGAACUACCUAUCUAAGCAUCAACAUUUUGACAUCCAUUGACCCAAUUAUAUUGAACAACGAACCAAGUUACCCUAGGGAUAACAGCGCAAUCCACUUUAAGAGCCCCUAUCGACAAGUGGGUUUACGACCUCGAUGUUGGAUCAGGGUUUCCAAGUGGUGCAGCCGCUACUA
This 821-nucleotide ribosomal RNA is filed under the name Ansonia sp. 2 Sanguila et al., 2011. RNAcentral's name for it is "partial 16S ribosomal RNA". It matches the Rfam family "Bacterial large subunit ribosomal RNA", at positions 1501 to 2567 of the family's 2925-position model. Lineage: Eukaryota; Metazoa; Chordata; Amphibia; Anura; Bufonidae. The record is from RNAcentral.